RNAcentral lists this ribosomal RNA (1493 nucleotides) under Enterococcus durans. Its description in RNAcentral is "bacterial SSU rRNA". It matches the Rfam family "Bacterial small subunit ribosomal RNA". The record is from RNAcentral. Lineage: Bacteria; Bacillati; Bacillota; Bacilli; Lactobacillales; Enterococcaceae.
GGCAAUGCGGCGUGCUAUACAUGCAAGUCGUACGCUUCUUUUUCCACCGGAGCUUGCUCCACCGGAAAAAGAAGAGUGGCGAACGGGUGAGUAACACGUGGGUAACCUGCCCAUCAGAAGGGGAUAACACUUGGAAACAGGUGCUAAUACCGUAUAACAAUCGAAACCGCAUGGUUUUGAUUUGAAAGGCGCUUUCGGGUGUCGCUGAUGGAUGGACCCGCGGUGCAUUAGCUAGUUGGUGAGGUAACGGCUCACCAAGGCCACGAUGCAUAGCCGACCUGAGAGGGUGAUCGGCCACAUUGGGACUGAGACACGGCCCAAACUCCUACGGGAGGCAGCAGUAGGGAAUCUUCGGCAAUGGACGAAAGUCUGACCGAGCAACGCCGCGUGAGUGAAGAAGGUUUUCGGAUCGUAAAACUCUGUUGUUAGAGAAGAACAAGGAUGAGAGUAACUGUUCAUCCCUUGACGGUAUCUAACCAGAAAGCCACGGCUAACUACGUGCCAGCAGCCGCGGUAAUACGUAGGUGGCAAGCGUUGUCCGGAUUUAUUGGGCGUAAAGCGAGCGCAGGCGGUUUCUUAAGUCUGAUGUGAAAGCCCCCGGCUCAACCGGGGAGGGUCAUUGGAAACUGGGAGACUUGAGUGCAGAAGAGGAGAGUGGAAUUCCAUGUGUAGCGGUGAAAUGCGUAGAUAUAUGGAGGAACACCAGUGGCGAAGGCGGCUCUCUGGUCUGUAACUGACGCUGAGGCUCGAAAGCGUGGGGAGCAAACAGGAUUAGAUACCCUGGUAGUCCACGCCGUAAACGAUGAGUGCUAAGUGUUGGAGGGUUUCCGCCCUUCAGUGCUGCAGCUAACGCAUUAAGCACUCCGCCUGGGGAGUACGACCGCAAGGUUGAAACUCAAAGGAAUUGACGGGGGCCCGCACAAGCGGUGGAGCAUGUGGUUUAAUUCGAAGCAACGCGAAGAACCUUACCAGGUCUUGACAUCCUUUGACCACUCUAGAGAUAGAGCUUCCCCUUCGGGGGCAAAGUGACAGGUGGUGCAUGGUUGUCGUCAGCUCGUGUCGUGAGAUGUUGGGUUAAGUCCCGCAACGAGCGCAACCCUUAUUGUUAGUUGCCAUCAUUCAGUUGGGCACUCUAGCAAGACUGCCGGUGACAAACCGGAGGAAGGUGGGGAUGACGUCAAAUCAUCAUGCCCCUUAUGACCUGGGCUACACACGUGCUACAAUGGGAAGUACAACGAGUCGCGAAGUCGCGAGGCUAAGCUAAUCUCUUAAAGCUUCUCUCAGUUCGGAUUGUAGGCUGCAACUCGCCUACAUGAAGCCGGAAUCGCUAGUAAUCGCGGAUCAGCACGCCGCGGUGAAUACGUUCCCGGGCCUUGUACACACCGCCCGUCACACCACGAGAGUUUGUAACACCCGAAGUCGGUGAGGUAACCUUUUGGAGCCAGCCGCCUAAGGUGGGAUAGAUGAUUGGGGGAAGUCGUAACAAGAGCUGG